AGAGUUUGAUCCUGGCUCAGGAGGAACGCUGGCGGCGUGCCUAAUACAUGCAAGUCGAACGAGAGCGACCGGUGCUUGCACUGGUCAAUCUAGUGGCGAACGGGUGAGUAACACGUGGGUAACCUGCCCAUCAGAGGGGGAUAACAUUCGGAAACGGAUGCUAAAACCGCAUAGGUCUUCGAACCGCAUGGUUUGAAGAGGAAAAGAGGCGCAAGCUUCUGCUGAUGGAUGGACCCGCGGUGCAUUAGCUAGUUGGUGAGGUAACGGCUCACCAAGGCCGUGAUGCAUAGCCGACCUGAGAGGGUGAUCGGCCACAUUGGGACUGAGACACGGCCCAAACUCCUACGGGAGGCAGCAGUAGGGAAUCUUCCGCAAUGGACGCAAGUCUGACGGAGCAACGCCGCGUGAGUGAAGAAGGUUUUCGGAUCGUAAAACUCUGUUGUUAGAGAAGAACAAGUGCUAGAGUAACUGUUAGCGCCUUGACGGUAUCUAACCAGAAAGCCACGGCUAACUACGUGCCAGCAGCCGCGGUAAUACGUAGGUGGCAAGCGUUGUCCGGAUUUAUUGGGCGUAAAGCGAGCGCAGGCGGUUCCUUAAGUCUGAUGUGAAAGCCCCCGGCUCAACCGGGGAGGGUCAUUGGAAACUGGGGAACUUGAGUGCAGAAGAGGAGAGUGGAAUUCCAUGUGUAGCGGUGAAAUGCGUAGAUAUAUGGAGGAACACCAGUGGCGAAGGCGACUCUCUGGUCUGUAACUGACGCUGAGGCUCGAAAGCGUGGGUAGCAAACAGGAUUAGAUACCCUGGUAGUCCACGCCGUAAAC
This 818-nucleotide ribosomal RNA is filed under the name uncultured bacterium. RNAcentral's name for it is "bacterial SSU rRNA". It matches the Rfam family "Bacterial small subunit ribosomal RNA", at positions 8 to 807 of the family's 1533-position model. The record is from RNAcentral.